This is a long non-coding RNA of Oncorhynchus tshawytscha (Chinook salmon), 374 nucleotides long. The record is from Ensembl. NCBI's taxonomy places the organism in Eukaryota, Metazoa, Chordata, Actinopteri, Salmoniformes, Salmonidae.
UAUAUGAGGAGGUAGAGGAGGAGGUAGAGGAGGAGGUAGAUAACCAGAGGUCAUUGGCAGAGGAGGAGGUAGAGGAGGAGGUAGAUGAGGAGGUAGAUGAGGAGGUAGAUCACCAGAGGUUAGUGGUAGAGGAGGUAGAGGAGGAGGUAGAGGGGGUAGAUAACCAAAGGUUAGUCUUAGAGGAGGUGGUAGAUGAGGAGGUAGAGGAGGAGGUAGAUAACCAGAGGUUAGCACAUUGUUAUUUCUGGCCAGUCACAUCACAACAAGGUCCCAAAUACCACAUACAGCGCUCCCUCUCUCGCCUCCCUCCUCACCCCCUUCUUUCCCCUCCCUCCUCUCCCCCUUCUCUCCCCUCCCUCUUUUCUCCCUUCAAG